CAGAAAGACCCUAUGAAGCUUUACUGUAACUUGAGAUUGAAAUUGGACUUUAUUUGCGCAGUAUAGGUGGGAGACCUUGAUAGUAUUCUUGCGGGAAUAUUGGAGUCAUCAGUGAGAUACCACUCUUGUAAUGUUAGAUUUCUAACUUUGUAUCAUUAUCUGGUCAAAGGACAGUUUCAGGCGGGCAGUUUGACUGGGGCGGUCGCCUCCCAAACGGUAACGGAGGCGCACAAAGGUUUCCUCUGAACGUGUAGAAAUCGUAUCUAGAGUGUAAAGGCAUAAGGAAGCUUGACUGUGAGACCUACAAGUCGAGCAGGGACGAAAGUCGGUCUUAGUGAUCUGACGGUGCUGAGUGGAAAGGCCGUCACUCAACGGAUAAAAGUUACUCUAGGGAUAACAGGCUGA
RNAcentral lists this ribosomal RNA (405 nucleotides) under Mallomonas sp. RNAcentral's name for it is "partial large subunit ribosomal RNA". It matches the Rfam family "Bacterial large subunit ribosomal RNA", at positions 2081 to 2485 of the family's 2925-position model. Lineage: Eukaryota; Synurophyceae; Synurales; Mallomonadaceae. The record is from RNAcentral.